This 253-nucleotide ribosomal RNA is filed under the name uncultured bacterium. RNAcentral describes it as "partial 16S ribosomal RNA". It matches the Rfam family "Bacterial small subunit ribosomal RNA", at positions 524 to 776 of the family's 1533-position model. The record is from RNAcentral.
UACAGAGGUCCCAAGCGUUGUUCGGAUUCACUGGGCGUAAAGGGUGCGUAGGUGGCGAAGUAAGUUGGAUGUGAAAGCUCCGAGCUUAACUCGGAAAUGGCAUUCAAAACUACUUUGCUAGAGGGUUGGAAGGGAGACUGGAAUUCACGGUGUAGCAGUGAAAUGCGUAGAUAUCGUGAGGAAGACCAGUGGCGAAGGCGGGUCUCUGGACAGUUCCUGACGCUGAGGCGCGAAGGCCAGGGGAGCAAACGGG